AUUCUUUAUGAUGCUUCAACUUUAUCCUUGUGAAUGACAUAUCAUCAUUGAUUACUAAAUGCAGGCAAAGAAUAGGACAAAAUUAAGACUGGAGUACAAAGUAUUACAGAUCACUUAAACUACGGAUGGGAAUAACUUUCAGGUAAUGUAAAUUUCAAUAAUUAUUUUGGUUUAUGAUAAAUCUAUUUUCCAUGGACUUGCUACAAAUAUAGGUGAAUUUUGCUAAAUUUAACAUUACUAAAUGAUGUACAUUAUCUACUGCAGGUACCAUAUACACAUGGAUGCGAAAACACACAACCAAACUUUGAUCUCACAAUAGGAGAUAGGAUAAAGAAGUGGUAAGAAACACUACAAUUCAUGUACCAGACUAACCAGGUACUAGAUUAAAAUAUUGCUAAAAAAAUCAUUUACUUAGUGCAACUAGACAUAUGUCAACAAGUAUAUAUGUUGAAAUAGAUGCAG
Molecule: long non-coding RNA, 462 nt
Filed under: Sorghum bicolor (sorghum)
Lineage: Eukaryota; Viridiplantae; Streptophyta; Magnoliopsida; Poales; Poaceae
Description: long non-coding RNA (SBIC_LNC008014)
Source: RNAcentral